This is a long non-coding RNA of Cyprinodon variegatus (sheepshead minnow), 761 nucleotides long. RefSeq lists it as uncharacterized. The record is from RefSeq and is a predicted model, not a curated record. Lineage: Eukaryota; Metazoa; Chordata; Actinopteri; Cyprinodontiformes; Cyprinodontidae. The transcript has 3 exons.
UAAACCCAGAGCCACACUGAGAGCAGAGAAAACAAUCAUACCACUAGGGGGCAGUGUUAGACUGACCUGCUCUGUGGAUGGAUCUGCUGACUGGAAGUUUGACUGGUUCAGAAAUGGGCAACAAUAUGCUGUCCGGACCAGAGGAAACAAUGAGCCAUACAGAGUCAUCAGCAUCUCAGAGGGAGGUCUAUACAGCUGCAGAGGAGGAAGAGGAGAUCCAGUUUUUACAACAGAAACAAGCAAAGAAAUCUCUAUUAGGAAAACUGUUCGCAUCACACCGAUUGUGACCCAACAACCAAACUGGUCUCAGAUGUUCAGAGGAGAGACAGUCACUCUGAGAUGUGAGAUCCAUGGAGGUGGAGGAGCUCAGUGGACGUAUGAAUGGAUUCCAAGCAACAGUAACUCUGCAACAUCCAGUGAAUACAGGAUUACUGCAGCUGACAGUAGAAAUUAUCGAUGCAGAGGAAGAACAGGUGGCUAUAUUACAACAGAGUGGGGACUUCUCCAAAUAACUGUAUUAAAUAAACCUCCGCCUGUCCUCUCUGUGUCUCCAUCAUGGCUGAGUCCUGGAGCCUCAGUGACUCUGAGCUGUGGGGGGUUGGAGCAUCCAUCUGCAGGAUGGAGGUUCUUCUGGUAUAAAGUGGUUCCAGCAAAAUCCAGCAGCUCCUACAGCUUAGAGCUGCUGACUGGCGGAACCAACUGGACUGAACAGAACUCCUACCUCAUUAAUGGACAGAAUCACACAGCAGGAUAUGUGUGCA